Molecule: long non-coding RNA, 1066 nt
Organism: Pieris napi
Lineage: Eukaryota; Metazoa; Arthropoda; Insecta; Lepidoptera; Pieridae
Exons: 2
Source: RefSeq, a predicted model, not a curated record
AACAAUACGUACAUACCAUUAUAUGCACUGCGUUCUUAUUAUUUAUUUGAAUAGGCCACCUAGACUCGCUCGCGUCUCACUCUGCGCAAGGCAGGGUACCGGGUAUUUGUAAAAAUCAAUAAGUUCGCGGCACCCUUUCCUGCUGUAUGUUGGCAGUUACUUUACGGGGGAGCUUCAGAGCCCACAGAGUUAGAAACAGAUUAUAAAUUGUGCAGAAUGUGUUAGAAUACAUAGUUAACUUUUUUAGAAAUCAUUCUUAUGUUAGGGUCUAACCUUUUAUUUCAUUCUAUUAUAUUCCGUUUUCUGAGUUAUUUAAUUAUUUCUUCUCAAUAUACGCUUGUAAAGUGACGCCAUUUUAUUCUAAAAAAGGAAUCGUUGUCUAUGAUCAGGUGCAAUACUGCACUUUAAUAGAAAAACAAAGUUUGGCUUCAGAAACGUUGAUCCCAGUGGAUGGAAUGGAUCUUGAUCAUAUAUUGAAUUGGCCGUCAACUCCUGAGGAAGAAAACUUCCUAAAUGCGAUCCUCGAGUCGUUGGUUAAAUUCGACGAAGAUGGGGGUCGUUUCCAUGAUGCCGAGGCGGUUGUAAUGGUUAUGCAUCGCAUCUGGGCUUGACAAGGAAUGAUAACGGGUCCAAUGAACUCUAACAACGCAGGCAGCAACAACAAUAACAGCAGCAACAGCAGCGGCAGCAGCACCCGCAACACGGAUAAUAGUGCCCCGGACUCGUCCAAUGAACCUUCCACGUCCAAAGGACCUUCCGCGUACUAUGGACCUUCCACGUACUAUGGACCUUCCACGUCCAAGGGACCUUCCACGUCCAAGGAACCUUCCACGUCCAAGGAGCCUUCCACAUCCAAGGAACCUUCCACGUCCAAGGAACCUUCUACGUCCAAGGAACCUUCCACGUCUAAGGAACCUUCCACGUCCAAUGGGGCCUCUUCUACGGCAAAAUAAUACCUAAAGGAUUCUGUUUAGAUAUGCUUGUACUCUUCUUCGCUUAGUCCGCUCUAUUAGAAAUCUGUCACUGAAUUGAACUAGAUUCAAAAUAUAAAAUUAAAUGUGAAAAA